CAGGCCUAACACAUGCAAGUCGAGCGGACAGAAGGGAGCUUGCUCCCGGAUGUUAGCGGCGGACGGGUGAGUAACACGUGGGUAACCUGCCUGUAAGACUGGGAUAACUCCGGGAAACCGGAGCUAAUACCGGAUAGUUCCUUGAACCGCAUGGUUCAAGGAUGAAAGACGGUUUCGGCUGUCACUUACAGAUGGACCCGCGGCGCAUUAUCUAGUUGGUGAGGUAAC
Molecule: ribosomal RNA, 228 nt
Filed under: uncultured bacterium
Lineage: Bacteria
Description: partial 16S ribosomal RNA
Rfam family: Bacterial small subunit ribosomal RNA
Source: RNAcentral